UUCCUGUGUUCUAAUUUAGUUUAGCCACUAAAUCAUUUUAAUAAAUUCUGUAGGUUAUUAUAUGGCUUGCUAAAAUAUACGCAAAGCCACUCACAAACUUCCAGAAUUAUUGGAGUUAUAUUUAAUAUAUAUUAAAUAUAAAUCCAAAGCAAAUAAUUAUUGGAUUAAUUCAAAUGGCCAAAAUAAAUGUUUCUGAGCUCCUAAAAAUAUUGGUUUGAAUUUUACCUCUUGCCAAUAUUUUUAUAGAAUAACAGGAACAUUUUCUUGGACUCAUUUGAGAAUAUUUUAAAGUUGGUUAUUUUUGAACUGAUUUCUGAGGGUUUCAACAAACCUCAAUUCAACUUUCAGAAAUUUUAGACAUGAUGCAUGAGGGUAGUUGCAACUAUUUCACUCAGGUAUUCUAGGGCUGUGACAACUCACCCCCAGUAAACAAAAAUCUCAUCCCGAGAUUCAAGAGGCGAGGUAAGAAGACAGAGGGGAUACAAGCUAGCAUGAUCUUCAUGAUCCAUUGCUUCAGAUCGAUCUUGGCGUCCUUCCUUUCGAGAUCUUCAUCCAACAUAAUGACGACGGACAGAAACUCUAUAGGAAUCGAUCUUCUCGAAGAUCGGCAACUCAAGAUCAACUCAUGGGGUGAGAUAUAAAACAUCUCUUGAGCUGAGAAACGAAACAUACAUUCAGAGGGAUGGGGUGUAACAGAUGACGAAGGUUCCCUAGGUAGGCCACAAAUCCAUGCUUGAUCACGAUGUAGCGAGGAUUUAACUGUCAUGAUUCCCCAACGGGGCACCUUAGGAAAAGUGACUCGUAGAAUCAUCCCUUAAGUGGCAGAAAGAAUUACUUUUGACAUAGAGAUCAUUGAAACUCUUGAUACCAGCAUAAGGCAAUUGCAAAUGAUUGUUUGACGGAGUUCGAGGAAAUUGCAUACUAAGAUCGAAAGGAAACUAUGGUUAUAGAACAACUCAGCAAACGGAAGGCACAUUCCAAUUGAUACCGAGAAUAUAACCUAGUGACUGAGCAUGCUCUGAAGAACUUGAGCAUUUCCAUAUUCAUCAAGGUCUUACCAACAUCCGUGCCAAGGAUCCUGUCCACAACAUACUACCAUGAUGAAUAGUGACAGAGGAUGCAUAUGCAAAGGAAGAUAACACUUUCUCAGGUUUCACCUUAGCGAGGCCAAGGAAACGAAAUAUGGACGAUCGACCGAGAGACAUUUAGCACUCCGCUUCUAAUGUUCUCCUUUAUGCACUAACGUAAUCCUUUCAUAGAUAUGGUUUGAUAUCUAGAACAUCAAGUAAAAGGUCGGACUUUGGGAACACAAAAAUCCAUAAGGAACAACUAGGGAGUAAAUCAUGCGAGGUCCUUAUGGGGAGGUGGCCAACUUUCACAAUCAGGAUACUACAGUAAUAGGUCUUCCGGCUGGGUGUAUUGGCCACGACAUCCACUUUACCGGGUUAUAGAGAGACCGAUACUAUAGUUCUUGGGAAACAUUCCAACCAUCAUAACUGCCUGGGAUUCAGAUCUGGUUGGUUUCAGGAUAUUCCAGACUCAUUAAGUCUAGAAAGAAAAAUGAAAGUUUGCAACACAAAUCAAUGAGACGACGUUGCGAGAUUCUCGGGGAAUGAACUGCGUUAGCAAGCUCCAAAAGAUGAGCUGGUUCUGCUACACACAUACGAACAUGUUGUCUCAGACAAGCAUGACCACAUAGUGGUCUUAUAAUAAAACACUACCGAGUUCAGGUGGGGAACCAUCAACAAGGGAUAUCGAAGUCCUUGCAUAAGUCCGGAUUAUCUCUUAUGAAGGAAUUCCUUUUCCUAGAACAAAUCAGUUAGUGGCUUGGUGUGCUAGGGAAUUCAUAUGGAAUGAAGAUGAUCAGUCUAACAGACCAUGGAAUACUUCGCACGUGCAUAAUUGACUUGGGAUGAUUCCAGAGGAGGCAAAAACAUGCUUUCUCGAAUUCACGGUGGCAACUUGCAUCAAAUGCACAUGAAUUAGAGGAAGUCACUUCUUUUCAUCCAAGCAUAUGCUUCAUGAACGGGGCAUGAAGAUAAUGCCUAUAAUGUUUCCAAUACUAGCUAGAUGUUCAACACAAAUCAUCGAGAAGAUAACAAUGUUGCUGAUGGGCCCAACAACAAUACAUCCAGGUUUCCACAUAGGUGAAAUUCCACAAUUAUGUGAACAAGGUGAUAGCAUUGGUCAGACCAAAAGAUGUAAUGGUGUAUGCUCGAGGGAUCAACCACGAGUAAGACAACAUUACGAUUAUCGUUGGUUCUGAUUUGAUUUGACGAUAGCCCAUGCGCAAAUCAAAGAUUGGAUAAGACAAUAGCACCGACAAUUUAUCACGAGGAUCAAUCGAUGAAGAUAUCAUCUUUCUUCGACAAACACACAAAUGCAAGGAUAUCCCUUUGGAGUUCAACUAAGCGGGACAAGCUUUCAUCUUCCAACUCUGCAAGUUGUUGUCUAGCUCAAUCAACUAGCUCAGGGGUAUCCAACAUAGAUUCUGGGAGAAGGGGUGGUUUACAAGAAACCAACUUGAUCACGAGCUCAACAUAGUAGUCAGGAGACAACCUGGUGAUACUUCCGAGAAGAUAUUCAGAACAUCAUGAACCACCGAUAUGUUAUUAAGCUCAGGAGCAUUCUUGCUUUUCAGGGCAAGAUGAUGUGAUCAAGAGAGUGAUGGAUUGAAACAAUCCUAUCUCAUUAAUCGAGGAAUGCACCAGGGAAAAUGGACUAGGUCCCACGAUAGAUCUUAGGAUGAUGACUCAAUAUGAACAUGCUAAGAAUGAGAUUAUUGUCCAUUAACUACCAAGCAACGGAGUUGCUAGGAGUAUAGAUUUCACACAUCACGAUUCACUUGUCGGUAUUCCGGUUGUGACAACACGAAACUGAUGAAUGAAUAAUGAUGGCGAGAAGUAUCACUAUGUCAAGAGUUCAUAGGAUGGUGUGCAAGUCCCAUGACAUUCUAGAUAUAAAGAUGGUAAUACUCCAAGGUGGAACAGAACAAAAGCUGGACUAGUAUUUGAUCUGUGGAACACAACUGCUUUGACCCAAUCAUGGAUAUGGAUGAGGUACUGGAGUUUGUUUCUCCUAGUCAUUCCCGAAUAGAAUGGCUUGAUGGGCCACACGAGUAGUGGCAUCGAUGAACACGAAUGCAUAACUACUCCUGACUAUCAAUUUAUAGACGAGGGCCAGAAAACAACUAAAGAGGGACAACUCAAAGGAACAUAUGUUUUUCUGAGUUGUGGACGCAUGGAUUAGUAUGCCGAACAAAUUCAGCAUAUUUCUUCCAGAUAACCCAUGCAGAAGGGUUGAACUGGCAGAGUCGCAAAAUCAAAUGGAGAACCCAUCAAGAGCAAUCUUGUCGUGAUCUCUUGGUUCAAGGAACUUCUGCCAAAAAUGGUUCAUGGUAUUUAGGAGAAUGAUGUACCAUAGACCUCGAAGACUAUCGCAAAGGUUACUAAUAUCCUAAAGGUACGAGCAACACUAACAACAUGAGGUAAGUAGGGAAAUCUCGGGUUCAGAAACCCAGGAGUAGAAUACCUAUUACUAAGUGGCAUCACGGGAUGCUUUCAAGAAUGAUGGCCAAAAUCAUCACACGGGAAACACAAAGCAUGACUAGAUUACUAGGUGAUACUCUAGACACCUAGGGUCAUCAUAAGAGCUCCAACAUAAAUGUCGAGGCAAUAGAAUACCUCAACUCAACAAUUAGUGUGAUUAACCUGGCCUAAAGUAACAUCGAAACCAGAGGGUAAGGAUUUCGCAAAUGCACCGGAUUGUUUAGAAACCUGGGAUGCCUCGGACAGCAUAACGGCUGUAAAUGCUCCAAAGGAUUUAAGACAUCCUACAAAAUGGUGGCAUAGCCACUCAGAAGCACAAUAUCAAGGUUUCGAGAUCAACAGUUAACAUACGGAAGUAGUAGGAACUGAACUGAGACUUAAAUCCAACAAUCUUACAAGUCUACGGAUUAGUAACACGUGAUCCUGAUAGAAAGAAGAGAAAUCCUACUUCCUUAACCCCGUAGGGAAGAUAAGGUGACUCAGAUCAGAAGGCAUAAGGUAUAAGGAGUAAAAAGAGCCUUACGUUCCAUCCCACUAUCAAUUCCCUUAUAUAACUAAAGAAUUUCUAGACUCAGCUUCGACCAGUUUGGCUUGGUAAUCCUACAGGCAGUCAGGCUCUGAUACCAAAGCUGGCAGAACCCCGACUCAAUGCCACACCGAUCUAGCAUGUAACACCUCAUAUCACUUUGUGGCCUCACGCACGGUAUUCCCACGGGUGUCGCCUCACCAGGCCCGGGACCGUUUGCGCCUUUUGGCACACGUAUAUGAUAGUGACGCUAGCAUCCAUAUGAUAAGGAGUCCGGGCUAACAUGACUAGUCGUGAACCCAAAGUGGCACUAACUUACAGGAACAGGCAUACAUGACCCAACAAUGAACGUGUCGGUCAUCAGCGAGUGAAUCUGGGCUGUAGCAACUGGGCUAGCUGGACUCCGGUAAACCAGGCUGUAGCAGGCUAACAGGACUCCGAUAGACACCGCGUGACAUUUCCCCAAAGGGACAGACACAGGAACGAAGAAGGACACAUGCCGGCCAGCCUAAGUGUUCCGGAGCCGUAGCAAGCUACCAUGCCUCAGUUGAAGCACUGGGAGACAUUUCUCGGUAAGAGAGGCUACCAAGGAUAAACAACUAGAUAGUCAGAUCCCACACAUACCAAGCAUUUCAAAAACAUACACACAAUAUGCUCGAUAUGUGCAAAUACAACAUGGUAUCACACCAUGACUCUACAACUCAAGUAUUUUAUUCAAUAGGCUCCGAGGAGCGAGAUAUUACAAAAAUGGGUCUCAUGACCCAGCAUUCAGAGCAUACUAGUCAAAGCACAAACGGAAGCUUAACAUGUCUGAGUACAGACAUCUACAAAUGAAAAAGGCUGAGAAGCCUGACUAUCUACUAGAUCUUGUCGAGGGCACAAGGUCGUAGCUGUGGUAACAAGCUAAACGUCGAAGUCCAGGUGGAACUACUAGUGAGACGGAAGUCUCUCUACAAAAACAUAAAAUAGGAAAACAUGAGUACAAAUGUACCCAGCAAGACUUACAUCAGAACUAACUACAUAUGCAUCAUUGUCAACAAAGGGGAUGGUGGGGUUUAACUGCAGCAAGCCAGCUUUGACUCGGUGGCUAUCCUGAACUAUGACUCCAAGUAACUCUUUUGAGGUGGCGCACACGAGUCCACAUAUUCACCAUAUCAAUACACCACUAUGGUUCCGCUCCCAUCUUCCUAUGAGAACGCCAUCCAUAGCACUCACGCUUAUCUUGCGCAUUUUAGAGUAUCCACUUUCACUUGUCGAUGAACUGUACAGGCAACCCAGAAGUCCUUUAUCGCGGACAUGGCUAUUCGAAUAGAUAAUGUUAACCCUGCAGGGGUGUACUUCGUCACACAUGCUCUCACCACUUAUCGCCGUUUACACGACAUGUACUCGGCAACCUUCAAGCGGAAGCCCAGCAAGGGUGUCGGCCACGACCUGACUAACCACACAAGUCUCUCGUCCAGGUUUAUCGCCUAUUCGGGUUCCAUCCGCAAGGAGAUCCGGCCGGGGUGUCGCUCACGGCCCCAAACGAUGUGUGCAAGGUUCCCAAGCCCACCUCGACGGCUGGAUCUACGCUUGGUACACCGUGCCAUGGUGCCUAGUCUGUACCAAGCCCACCUGUAUCGGGUGCCACUUGGUAGACUACUAACACUACCUACAAACACCAAAAACUAGUUGCAACUCCUGGAUAGAGAUCAGGUUGAUUAAUAAGUCGAGAAAGCUUGGAGCGCCCGCAGCCCAAUGUGUGGUAGUUACUGUUUCUGGAUCACAAACACAAAACUCAGUUCCUGAGGGCGGUUUCAAUGAGACAACCCACCAUGUACUCCUACAUGGCCUCUCACUGCUACCUUUAGCAAAUCAUGUUCACACACUUAGCUCUCAAAAGUAGGACAUGUUCACCACAUUCCAAUUCAUCCCUGAUGAAUCAGACCUGACUCAACUCUAAGCAGUAGCAGGCAUGAAAAACAAGCAUGAAUGAGUAGGCACAUCAGGGCUCAAACAAUUCCUACUCAUGCUAGUGGGUUUCAUCUAAUUACUAUGGCAAUGAUAGGUCAUGCAGAAGAAAGGGGUUCAACUACCGCAGCAUGUAACAGUUGAAACGUUGUUGUCCUAAUGCAGUAAAAGAGAGCCGGAGCGACAGAGUGGUAUUGUAUUGGAAUGAACAAGGGGGUUUUGCUUGCCUGGCACUUCUGAAGAUAGUAUAGUUCUUCAUCAGUGUCAUCGAACUCAUCAAUGGAACCACGUCUAUCAAGAGGGGACAAACACCGGCAAACAAGGAAGAACACAAUCAAUGCAAUGCAUAAUAUGAUGUAUGAUCAUGACAUGGUAAUAUGAGUGUGUUGGCCUAAUGCAACUACAACCAGAUGGGUUUGGGUCAUUUUGAACCAAAGGUUCAACCCCAAACUCAAAUUAUGAAUUUAAAUAGUGCCUUAUCAUGUUUUGCACUAAAAAGCAAGGUUAAGUUUCUUAAACAAGCAUGAGACUAGUACAGAUGGAUAUAUUGGAUUUUUCUGAUCAUUUUUCAUAUAUAAUUUAUCUCAUUCUGAGCUACGGUUGAAUUUCUAUGAUUUUUCAAAGUUUUGGAUAUUUUCUGAAAUAAAUAAAUCAUUUAAGACUUAUUUAAAUUCCAGAAAAGAGUUAUUGCAUCAGCAUGAUGCCACUGUGAUGUCAGCAGGUCAGUGGGGUCGUCCAGGUCAAACCUGACCAGUGGGUCCCACUGGUCAGUGGCACAACUAAUUAACCAAGUUAAUUAGCCUUAAGUUAAUUCUAACUAAACUGUUUGUGGGGCCGGGGCACACUAGUCAGUGACUAAUUAGCUAACUAACCUAGGUUAAUUAGUGUUAAACUAAUACUAACUAAAAGUGUCAGGGGGUGGCCCACGCGUCAAUAAAACACGAGGGGAGGUCAAACCCUGGUCAGCGGGGUCAAACCCGCCGGACCUGGUCCACGGCUCGUCGCCGGCAACGACAGAGACGACGGUGGGCUUCGGAAAUCGCCCACAAGAGAUGGUUUUGGGCGUGGGGAGGCUCUACUAAGAGGUGCUGCUCGCGCACAGCUGAUGGAGCAGACAACGGGAGCUGGGGUGGCCUGCUGGGCUGGGCCAGCUCCUGGGCUGCACAGUACUGGCCUGUGGGCUUUAGGUAAGCGCCAGGUACUAACUCUCUCUCUCUUUUCCUGUUUUUCUUUUUCUAUUUCAUUUCCUGUGUUCUCAUGUAGUUUAGCCACUAAAUCAUUUUAAUAAAUUAUGUAGGUUAUUAUAUGGCUUGCUGAAAUAUACGCAAAGCCACUCACAAACUUCUAGAUUUAUUGGAGUUAUAUUUAAUGUAUAUUAAAUAUAAAUCCAAAGCAAAUAAUUAUUGGAUUAAUUCAAAUGGCCAAAAUAAAUGUUCCUGAGCUCCUAAAAAUAUUGGUUUGAAUUUUACCUCUUGCCAAUAAUUUUAUAGAAUAACAGGAACAUUUUCUUGGACUCAUUUGAGAAGAUUUUAAAGUUGGUUAUUUUUGAACUGAUUUGUGAGGGUUUCAACAAACCUCAAUUCAACUUUCAGAAAUUUUAG
Molecule: long non-coding RNA, 7625 nt
Filed under: Triticum aestivum (bread wheat)
Lineage: Eukaryota; Viridiplantae; Streptophyta; Magnoliopsida; Poales; Poaceae
Description: long non-coding RNA (TAES_LNC027278)
Source: RNAcentral